RNAcentral lists this ribosomal RNA (563 nucleotides) under Dendrostoma quercinum. RNAcentral describes it as "eukaryotic LSU rRNA". It matches the Rfam family "Eukaryotic large subunit ribosomal RNA", at positions 69 to 655 of the family's 3401-position model. The record is from RNAcentral. Lineage: Eukaryota; Fungi; Ascomycota; Sordariomycetes; Diaporthales; Erythrogloeaceae.
CAGGGAUUGCCCUAGUAACGGCGAGUGAAGCGGCAACAGCUCAAAUUUGAAAUCUGGCUUCGGCCCGAGUUGUAAUUUGCAGAGGAUGUUUCUGGCGCGGUGCCUUCCGAGUUCCCUGGAACGGGACGCCACAGAGGGUGAGAGCCCCGUAUGGUUGGACACCAAGCCUGUGUGAAACUCCUUCGACGAGUCGAGUAGUUUGGGAAUGCUGCUCAAAAUGGGAGGUAAAUCUCUUCUAAAGCUAAAUACCGGCCAGAGACCGAUAGCGCACAAGUAGAGUGAUCGAAAGAUGAAAAGCACCUUGAAAAGGGGGUUAAACAGUACGUGAAAUUGUUGAAAGGGAAGCACUUGUGACCAGACUUGUGCCGGGCGGUUCAUCCGGGGUUCUCCCCGGUGCACUCCGCCCGGUAUAGGCCAGCAUCGGUUCUCUCUGGGGGAUAAGAACGGUGGGAACGUGGCCCUCCCUCGGGAGGGUGUUAUAGCCCGCCGUACGAUAUCCUGGAGGGGACUGAGGUUCGCGCUCCGCAAGGAUGCUGGCGUAAUGGUCACCAGUGACCCGUCUU